AUUGAACGCUGGCGGCAGGCUUAACACAUGCAAGUCGAGCGGGGUGAUGGUGCUUGCACUAUCACUUAGCGGCGGACGGGUGAGUAAUGCUUAGGAAUCUGCCUAUUAGUGGGGGACAACAUCUCGAAAGGGAUGCUAAUACCGCAUACGUCCUACGGGAGAAAGCAGGGGAUCACUUGUGACCUUGCGCUAAUAGAUGAGCCUAAGUCGGAUUAGCUAGUUGGUGGGGUAAAGGCCUACCAAGGCGACGAUCUGUAGCGGGUCUGAGAGGAUGAACCGCCACACUGGGGCUGAGGCACGGCCCAGACUCCUACGGGAGGCAGCAGUGGGGAAUAUUGGACAAUGGGGGGAACCCUGAUCCAGCCACGCCGCGUGUGUGAAGAAGGCCUUAUGGUUGUAAAGCACUUUAAGCGAGGAGGAGGCUCUUUUGGUUAAUACCCAAGAUGAGUGGGCGUUACUCGCAGAAUAAGCACCGGCUAACUCUGUGCCAGCCGCCGCCGUAA
Molecule: ribosomal RNA, 503 nt
Filed under: uncultured bacterium
Lineage: Bacteria
Description: partial 16S ribosomal RNA
Rfam family: Bacterial small subunit ribosomal RNA
Source: RNAcentral